UUUUAAAGUACUUAUAACCCACAUGUCAGCUGGGGUCAUCUUAUUUUUGGAGAUUCAAAUGGAAUGGGCUUGAACUUGGUCCCACAUGCCAUGGGAGACCCAACUUUCCUUGGAACCUUUCCAGGGAAUGGGGGUGAAGGGUGUUUGUGUCUCUCCUAGUCACCCAAGGUUCUGAAUUCCUGCAUCCAAUGAAUCCGUUCUGCUUAGGUGCCCUUUUUUGAUUUACAAUGUUGUGCCAGUUUCUGCUGUACAGCAAAGCGACCCAGUCAUUCAUUUGUUUACACACACACACACACACACACAUUCCCUUUCUUACAUUAUCUUCCAUCAUGGGCUAACCCAGGAGAUUGGCUAUAGUUCCCUGUGCUAUAUAGUAGGGCCGCACUGCUUAAUCCAGUCUAAAUGUCAUAGUUUGCAUCUACUAACUCCCAAUUCCCAGUCUGUCCUACUCCCUACCACCCACCACUGCAACCGCAAGUCUGUUCUUGACGUCUGUGAGUCUGUUUCCGUUUUGUAGAUAGGUUCGUUUGUGCCAUAUUUUAUAUUUCACAUAUUACUGAUAUCAUGUGGUAUUUGUCUUUCUCUUUAUGAUCUGCUUCACUUAGUAUGAGACUCUCUAGUUGCAUUCACGUUGCUAUAAAUGGCAUUAUUUCACUCUUUUUAUGGCUGAGUAGUAUUCCAUUAUAUACGUGUACCACAUCUUACUCCAUUCAUCUGUUGAUGGACAUGUAGGGGUUUCCAAGUCUUAGCUCUUGUCAAUAGUGCUGCUAUGAACACACAGGUGCAAUGUAUCUUUUUGAAUGAAAGUCUGUCCAGAUUUAUGCCCAGGAGUGGGAUUGCUGGAUCAUGUGGUAGUUCUAUAUUUACUUUUCUGAGGAACCUCCAUACUGUCUUCCAUGGUGGUUGUACUUAGUCAUUGUUGAACAAAGGGCUGCACAUUUUCAUUCUGCAAAUCAGGUAGCUAGACCUGCUUGAUUCAGGAGCUUUCCUUUCCCACCCCACGCUGACCCACUCGAGACUCUGCCCCAAUUCCUCCACUGUCCCUAAAGCCCAUCCAUGGAGUUCAUGUGUGUAUAGACUUGGACUGAAGCUUUCGGAUGAAGGAAAAUUUUGGCCUUCAAGCUAAGUUAACAGCAUCAAGUCCAGUGUAUGAACUGGCUCAAAGCUACUCAGUGGGAAACAAUGAAGGAGGAGGGAAGGCCGAUGAAACAAGAGCGGCCAAAGGUGGACCCGUGAAUAUACUCAAAGACACAGAGCUGGGCACUUGAGAUGGGUGAAUGAGAUGGUAAGUGAAUUAUAUCUCAAUAAAACUGUUGGGGGAAAAAAAAAGUCAUGCCUUCCCCACUCUUCCCCUCAUCCUGCCAGGAAUCCUUAGGCUCCAGACUCCUGCCUUUGGGGAAAUCUGUCUUCCACCCUCUCUCUGCAUGUGUGCACACACGCACGUGCACACAUACACACAACUUCCAUCUCUCGUUCCCAUUACCUUCUUCUGCCUUAAGACACUUUUUUUUUCUUCUUAGGGCCGCAUCUGCGGCCUAUGGAAGCUCCCAGGCUAGGGGUCAAAUGGGAGCUGGAGCUGCCAGUCUGUGCCACAGUCACAGCAAUGCCAGAUCCAAGCGACCUACACGGCAGUUCAUGGCCAUGCCUGAUCCUUAACCCCCUGAGCUGGGCCAGGGAUUGAACCCUCAUCCUCACAGACACUAUGUUGGGUUCUUAACCCGCUGAGCCACAACAGGAACUCUGGGACAUUUUUCAUUCUAUUUCCAUUCUCACCAAUAUCAGGGGAGGGCCUUCUCCCACAAUCAGGGUGCCCCACGGAGGUAUUUUCUUACAACACUUUCCUCUUUAAAGGCUACUCAGUUGACAGGUAUUAAAAU
RNAcentral lists this long non-coding RNA (1877 nucleotides) under Sus scrofa (pig). Its description in RNAcentral is "lncRNA (ENSSSCG00015081084.1)". Lineage: Eukaryota; Metazoa; Chordata; Mammalia; Artiodactyla; Suidae. The record is from RNAcentral.